This 572-nucleotide long non-coding RNA is filed under the name Struthio camelus australis. RNAcentral describes it as "lncRNA (ENSSCUG00000018073.1)". Lineage: Eukaryota; Metazoa; Chordata; Aves; Struthioniformes; Struthionidae. The record is from RNAcentral.
GGUCCCAGUCCACCCCAGUCCAUCCCAGUCCGGUCUCAGUCCACCCCAGUCCAGUCCCUGUCUGCCCCGACCUGUCCCGGUCAGGUCCCAGUCCACCCCAGUCCAGUCCCUGUCCGCUCCGACCCGUCCCGGUGGGUCCCAGUCCACCCCAGUCAGGUCCUAGUCCAUCCCAGUCCAUCCCAGUCCCUCCCAGUCUGGUCCCUGUCUGCCCUGACCCAUCCCAGUCCGGUCUCAGUCCACCCCAGUCCAGUCCCUGUCCGCUCCGACCCGUCCCAGCGGGUCCCAGUCCACCCCAGUCCACCCCAGUCAGGUCCUAGUCCAUCCCAGUCCAUCCCAGUCCCUCCCAGUCUGGUCCCUGUCUGCCCUGACCCAUCCCAGUCAGGUCCUAGUCCACCCCAGUCCAUCCCAGUCCAGUCCCAGCGUAUCCCGAUCCAUCCCUGUCUGUCCCAGUCCAGUCCCAGUGUGUCCCAGUCCAUCCCUGUCUGUCCCAGUCCAGUCCCAGCGUAUCCCGAUCCAUCCCUGUCUAUCCCAGUCCAGUCCCAGUGUGUCCCAGUCCAUCCCUAUCCCAGUCC